AUUAAAUUUACUUAAAAAAAAAAGCAAAUGCAGAAAGUUGCAAAACUUUUUUUAAUGAAAAAUUUUACUCAUCAUUUUUUUCAGUGUGGUUGGAACAGCCCUCAUUUCUCUGUGGGAGGAUCAACCAACAACCAGCAAGAAAAGCUGUUGAACUUCCUCUGCUUUAGAAUAAGAUCCUCACUAUCAGGACUCAAAGCUUCAGCUCUGUUUUGGACAGAAUGAUAUUUAUUUUUGUAAUUUUAGCUUUACUUCUAACAGUACAUGCAUCUGAUGGAGUCAACAUUGUUCAGGAACCCAAAAUAUCAUUUGUGGACCAUCAGAGUUCCUCUGUGAUGCUACACUGUAGACAAGAUAGUGAUCACACAAGGAUGUUCUGGUACAGACGAAGACAAGAUACACAGGAUCUUGAACUGCUGGCUUUUUCUUUCGGUAAAGACAAUGCUAAAAUUGAGCCUCCGUUUGAUAAAGCUGAUAAAUACGUAAUGACCCGUCCAGAGGUGCUGAAGGGAACGCUGCAGAUAGAGAAGCUGGAGGCUGCAGACUCUGCUUUAUAUUACUGUGCUACAAGUC
Long non-coding RNA from Astyanax mexicanus (Mexican tetra), 570 nucleotides. RefSeq lists it as uncharacterized. The transcript has 2 exons. Lineage: Eukaryota; Metazoa; Chordata; Actinopteri; Characiformes; Acestrorhamphidae. The record is from RefSeq and is a predicted model, not a curated record.